This 76-nucleotide transfer RNA is filed under the name Candidatus Komeilibacteria bacterium. RNAcentral's name for it is "tRNA-Thr". It matches the Rfam family "tRNA". From Rfam's summary of the family: Transfer RNA (tRNA) molecules are approximately 80 nucleotides in length. Their secondary structure includes four short double-helical elements and three loops (D, anti-codon, and T loops). The record is from RNAcentral. Lineage: Bacteria; Candidatus Komeiliibacteriota.
GCCAACGUAGCUCAGUUGGUAGAGCAACGCUUUUGUAAAGCGAAGGUCGGGGGUUCGAAUCCUCUCGUUGGCUCCA